AGCUACCUACCAACGAUUGGUGAA
Molecule: non-coding RNA, 24 nt
Filed under: Arabidopsis thaliana (thale cress)
Lineage: Eukaryota; Viridiplantae; Streptophyta; Magnoliopsida; Brassicales; Brassicaceae
Source: RNAcentral